CAAUAGCGUAUAUUAUUGAUGUUGCAGUUGAAACGUUCGUAGUCGAACUUUAUUUGCUUCAGCGUUGCUAAAUCUAUGAUUUUCCAAUGCUUCAGAGCAAAGAUAAUGCAAAGAUGUUUUCCAUAUGUUCCAUAUGGAAAUAUGUUUUUGCAUCUUACUUUGAGUGAAUCGGCGUGUUCCACGCAGGCUUUCGCCUUGAACGAUUUACCAUAGUAUAAAUAUAGUAUGAAAAUACUCCUUUGUUCGCACGGGAAUUUUCGAUACUGAAAAGAACGGUCGAGGGCAUUCGUAUUCAACUGAUAGAGGUGAAAUUCUUUGACCAGUUGAGGACGAACUAUUGCGAAAGCAUCUGCCAAGGACGUUUCUUUUGA
Molecule: ribosomal RNA, 371 nt
Filed under: uncultured eukaryote
Lineage: Eukaryota
Description: partial 18S ribosomal RNA
Rfam family: Eukaryotic small subunit ribosomal RNA
Source: RNAcentral